This 191-nucleotide ribosomal RNA is filed under the name Shigella boydii. RNAcentral's name for it is "partial 16S ribosomal RNA". It matches the Rfam family "Bacterial small subunit ribosomal RNA", at positions 1 to 183 of the family's 1533-position model. Lineage: Bacteria; Pseudomonadati; Pseudomonadota; Gammaproteobacteria; Enterobacterales; Enterobacteriaceae. The record is from RNAcentral.
UUAAAUUGAAGAGUUUGAUCAUGGCUCAGAUUGAACGCUGGCGGCAGGCCUAACACAUGCAAGUCGAACGGUAACAGGAAUCAGCUUGCUGAUUCGCUGACGAGUGGCGGACGGGUGAGUAAUGUCUGGGAAACUGCCUGAUGGAGGGGGAUAACUACUGGAAACGGUAGCUAAUACCGCAUAAUGUCGCA